This 368-nucleotide long non-coding RNA is filed under the name Sus scrofa (pig). RNAcentral's name for it is "lncRNA (ENSSSCG00070010737.1)". Lineage: Eukaryota; Metazoa; Chordata; Mammalia; Artiodactyla; Suidae. The record is from RNAcentral.
CGCCGCCCUGGAUUCUCGAGGCCUCAACCUCCCAGGCCCCAGGCCUCUACUUCUGCUUCUCCGCUCCGCCUGUGGGCACCUGGCAAGGGGCCUGACCCCACCACCGGGGAGAGGCGGGGCCUGGUGGGCGUGGCCGGCGGGGCGGGGUUGGGCCCUGGCGGGAACUAAAGGAAGUGGGCUCGCGGCGCCUGCGCACUCCACUCCACGGACGUCGGUUUUUUCUGCCCGGCGCCCGCGCCCUUCGCUGCGCGACCCGCGUUCCGCGUCCCGCAUCUCACGCAGCUGUCCCUCCUGCUCGCACCUCGUUGGGAGGUCAGCAACGGUUCCAGCCUCCAGGACGAGCGCAUCACAAACCUACUGGUGUUUGG